GAUGAACGCUGGCGGCGUGCCUAAUACAUGCAAGUAGAACGCUGAAGGAAGGAGCUUGCUCUUUCCGGAUGAGUUGCGAACGGGUGAGUAACGCGUAGGUAACCUGCCUGGUAGCGGGGGAUAACUAUUGGAAGCGAUAGCUAAUACCGCAUAACAGUAGCUGUUGCAUGAUAUCUACUUAAAAGGUGCAAUUGCACCACUACCAGAUGGACCUGCGUUGUAUUAGCUAGUUGGUGAGGUAACGGCUCACCAAGGCGACGAUACAUAGACGACCUGAGAGGGUGAUCGGCCACACUGGGACUGAGACACGGCCCAGACUCCUACGGGAGGCAGCAGUAGGGAAUCUUCGGCAAUGGACGGAAGUCUGACCGAGCAACGCCGCGUGAGUGAAGAAGGUUUUCGGAUCGUAAAGCUCUGUUGUAAGAGAAGAACGAGUGUGAGAGUGGAAAGUUCACACUGUGACGGUAUCUUACCAGAAAGGGACGGCUAACUACGUG
This 497-nucleotide ribosomal RNA is filed under the name uncultured bacterium. RNAcentral's name for it is "partial 16S ribosomal RNA". It matches the Rfam family "Bacterial small subunit ribosomal RNA", at positions 28 to 507 of the family's 1533-position model. The record is from RNAcentral.